RNAcentral lists this long non-coding RNA (1487 nucleotides) under Macaca fascicularis (crab-eating macaque). RNAcentral's name for it is "lncRNA (ENSMFAG00000054545.1)". Lineage: Eukaryota; Metazoa; Chordata; Mammalia; Primates; Cercopithecidae. The record is from RNAcentral.
GCCAGCUCCCCACCCUUGCCUCUGGGCUCCAGUUCCUGGAAGGUAACUCGUUUCCUUUGGCCAUGGCCUGGGAACAGGCUUCCAGGCCCUUCCCUCCCCCGCAGCCUGGCCUGGCCAUGCUGGGUUCCUGGAGUUCAGCUUACAGGGACCAGGUGGCCAGUUGGAAGGGCAGACAGGCCACCUAGCACCAGAUUCCAGGACCCCGAGAGAACCGGGGAACCAGAGUGCCUGGGGAUUUGCAGACGGACUGUGAACUGGGCUGCACUUAUCUUUCCCCCUCCCAGGCAAAAGCCAUUUCCUCCCACGAAGCAGGAAAAAUCUCAGCCAGCCUCUGGGAUUUCACUGAAAACCCAGCACCACAAACCUCAAAUAUGGAGCCCUCCUGUUUUUCUAAUAAAUUUUUUUAUCCAAGACGGCAGCUUCUGACUCUCCUCUCUCUUCAAGACUCCCAGUGCCCCCAACCAGCCUGAAGCCUCAACCGCUGAUCUUCCAUCUAAAAAUAAAACACAUCUGCACAAUAAAAUGUCAUUUAUCAAGAAAAGAGCACAAAGGACUGGGUGCUGUGGCUCGCGCCUGUAAUCCCAGCACUUUGGGAGGCUGAGGCUGGAGGAUCUCUUGAGGCCAAGAGUUUGAGACCAGCCUGGGCAACAUGGUGAAAGCCCAUCUCUACUAAAACUACAAAAAAAUUAGCCAGGCAUGGUAGUGCAAGCCUGUGAUCCCGGCUACUUAGGAGGCUGGGGCAGGAGGAUGGCUUGAGCCCAGGAGGAUCACUUGAGCCCAGGAGGUCAAGCACAGAGAAGUGUUAUGGAGUAGUGUUCAAGAGUGUGAGUUCUGCUGCCCGAUUGCCCACCUUUAAGCAGCCCUGCCUCUUACCAGCUGUGUGACUUUGCAGAAGGUGAUUGCCCAUUGCCCUCUGUGUCUGCUUCCUUAUUUGUAAGAUGGGGAUGAGAAUAUAACAGCAGCUACCUCAAAGGCUUUUCAUGCAAAUGAAGUAUUUGCAAAGUGCUUGGAACAGGGUCAGGCACAUAGUAAGCAUCAGAUACAUUUUUGUUAAAUAAUAAAAUUUGUUUCCUUAGCUUCUUACCAGGAAAUCUGCAUUUGCUGUGUGUGCACUUGUCCUUCUCUCCUGCCCCUUGGAGGAAGUUUCUGUGCUUCCUAUUGAAAGCCAGUGCUGUGGCCGGGCACGGUGGCUGACGCCUGUGAUCCCAGUACUUUGGGAGGCCGAGGCGGGUGGAUCACUUGAGGCUGGGAGUUCGAGACCAGCCUGGCCAACGUGGUGAAAACUUGUCUCUACUAAAAAUACAAAAACUAACGGGGCGUGGUGGCGGGCGCCUGUAAUUCCAGCUACUUGGGAGGCUGAGGCAAGAGAAUCGCUUGAACCAGGGAGGCCGAGGUUGUGGUGAGCCAAGAUCGGGACAUUGCACUCCACCCUGGGCAACAAGAGUGAAACUCCGUCUCAAAAACAAAAAAGAAAAUAAAACAAAAAA